This 55-nucleotide non-coding RNA is filed under the name unclassified sequences. The record is from RNAcentral.
GCCGUAAUGUAGCCGUUGGCGGUCGCAAGCCCGCAUGAGAAAUACAGAGCGAGGU